Molecule: long non-coding RNA, 621 nt
Organism: Saccostrea echinata
Lineage: Eukaryota; Metazoa; Mollusca; Bivalvia; Ostreida; Ostreidae
Exons: 4
Source: RefSeq, a predicted model, not a curated record
GGCCAACAGCGUAGCUCGCAUACCAAGAGCGAAACAAAUCAAGGGGUACUCAAAUUUCAUCGAAGGGUACAUACACAACGUAGAAGGUGAAAAUAUCAGCAGAUGCCUCUACAAUCAUUGGUUCAGAAUGUGAGUGCAAAGCAGGGAAUGGACACUGCAGCCAUUCUUUAGGUCUUCUCUACCUGGUAUCCCAUUACCAGAAACUUGGACUAACAGCUGUUCCACCAGUCCAGAGCAAGACAUCACUGCCACAAACAUGGCAUAUUCGCAGUAGAGUGGAAGGACUUGCUCCGAAAUCUGUGGAUAGUUUAGAAAUUUCUAAAAUCAAACCACAACAGGGUCCUCCCAAAAAGAAAAAGAGGGUCACUGAAGGCAUUCUACCCAACAUUUACUGCCCUGUUGAGAAACCCAUCUCAUCAGAUUUCUCUCAGCAGUUGAUCUUGAACUUGAAGUCUGUUGGAAGUGAUGCGCAGAUUCUCAAAAUUCUGCCCUCCACUUCAACACGUACAGUAGAAUCAACAUUUGGUCCAGUACCCUUUGGAUGCCCAUUGUCAUACCAACAGAAAUUAAACUCAACAAUCACAGACAUACUUAACCAUCCAGAUGUAAUUUAUCCCAAUU